UAAGACGUAGGGGACGAGCGUUGUCCGGAUUCAUUGGGCGUAAAGCGCGCGUAGGCGGUUUGGUAAGUCGGAUGUGAAAACCAGAGGCUCAACCUCUGGCCUGCAUCCGAUACUGCCCGACUAGAGGUAGGUAGGGGAGAUCGGAAUUCCUGGUGUAGCGGUGAAAUGCGCAGAUAUCAGGA
RNAcentral lists this ribosomal RNA (182 nucleotides) under uncultured bacterium. RNAcentral describes it as "partial 16S ribosomal RNA". It matches the Rfam family "Bacterial small subunit ribosomal RNA", at positions 521 to 702 of the family's 1533-position model. The record is from RNAcentral.